UACGUAGGGGGCAAGUGUUGUCCGGAAUUAUUGGGCGUAAAGCGCGCGCAGGCGGCUUUGUAAGUUUGGUGUUUAAUCUCAGAGCUCAACUCUGAUUCGCAUCGAAAACUGCAAGGCUUGAGUACAGAAGAGGAAAGUGGAAUUCCACGUGUAGCGGUGAAAUGCGUAGAGAUGUGGAGGAACACCAGUGGCGAAGGCGACUUUCUGGGCUGUAACUGACGCUGAGGCGCGAAAGCGUGGGGAGCAGACAGG
Molecule: ribosomal RNA, 252 nt
Filed under: uncultured bacterium
Lineage: Bacteria
Description: partial 16S ribosomal RNA
Rfam family: Bacterial small subunit ribosomal RNA
Source: RNAcentral